Girardinichthys multiradiatus is the source of this 801-nucleotide long non-coding RNA. RefSeq lists it as uncharacterized. NCBI's taxonomy places the organism in Eukaryota, Metazoa, Chordata, Actinopteri, Cyprinodontiformes, Goodeidae. The record is from RefSeq and is a predicted model, not a curated record. The transcript is spliced from 3 exons.
GGAAAGUCCAGACAGCUAAUAUCUGGUAGGAGCAGAGACAGAGAAGAAUUGAAGCAAAGCAGAAGGUAGAGUCCAUGCAACAAGAGCUACAGGAAACUGAUCUGAAAUCAGCUGAAAACAAAACAUCUGAAGCCUGCAGCUGAGGGUCUUAUAUUCUCCAGCAGGGACAGCAAGCAGUCUACAACCACAGCGAGAAUAGGACUCAAACCAAGCACUCAGUCUCACAGCACUUCUUGGACCUAAGCAGCAGAAGACUUGACUCUGAACAGGAUAGAUGGAGGGCAACGGUGAUCCACACGCCUUACUUGCAAGCCACAGUUUGACAUCAGACAAACCAAGGCCUCUGCCCUCCAAGCAAAGCCCGACUGACUCUUUCCUAACUGCAGCCCGGAUGGUGCGGGAAGGACCGCUGGUCGACGGGAGGACAGGACGGCAGUUUUCAACACUUAGACCCUCUCCAUCCAGUUCACAAGACGUUCGUGGUGAGGUUUUCUUGAAGGACAUCAGGAUCAGACGGUACACCAUCAUCUCCAGCAAGAAGACAGAUACAGACAGAAAAACAGACCAUGUGGAAGGGAAACGGACCCCUGAAGGCGCCUCCUCAGCCAAAAGACAAGCAGAGAGACAGAAAUACAUGGUGUGUUUUAGUGCAUCUGGCUGUCGCUUCACAUGCAGACAACUUGUAAGGUUUCAAGUUGCAAAUUUACCUGUAAUAGAUGAGAUUUAGCAAACACUAAAGAUAAUCAGGCUUCAAGAUUUGCUGGUAAAUUUGUAAUAAAAGGUUUGAAAUAGUCAAAUAAA